GGGCGUUUAGCUCAGCUGGUUUAGAGCAUCUGCCUUACCAGCAGAGGGUCGGCGGUUCGAAUCCGUCAACGCCCA
RNAcentral lists this transfer RNA (75 nucleotides) under Paludibacteraceae bacterium. RNAcentral's name for it is "tRNA-Val". It matches the Rfam family "tRNA". From Rfam's summary of the family: Transfer RNA (tRNA) molecules are approximately 80 nucleotides in length. Their secondary structure includes four short double-helical elements and three loops (D, anti-codon, and T loops). The record is from RNAcentral. Lineage: Bacteria; Pseudomonadati; Bacteroidota; Bacteroidia; Bacteroidales; Paludibacteraceae.